UCCCGGAUGUUAGCGGCGGACGGGUGAGUAACACGUGGGUAACCUGCCUGUAAGACUGGGAUAACUCCGGGAAACCGGAGCUAAUACCGGAUAGUUCCUUGAACCGCAUGGUUCAAGGAUGAAAGACGGUUUCGGCUGUCACUUACAGAUGGACCCGCGGCGCAUUAGCUAGUUGGUGAGGUAACGGCUCACCAAGGCGACGAUGCGUAGCCGACCUGAGAGGGUGAUCGGCCACACUGGGACUGAGACACGGCCCAGACUCCUACGGGAGGCAGCAGUAGGGAAUCUUCCGCAAUGGACGAAAGUCUGACGGAGCAACGCCGCGUGAGUGAUGAAGGUUUUCGGAUCGUAAAGCUCUGUUGUUAGGGAAGAACAAGUGCAAGAGUAACUGCUUGCACCUUGACGGUACCUAACCAGAAAGCCACGGCUAACUACGUGCCAGCAGCCGCGGUAAUACGUAGGUGGCAAGCGUUGUCCGGAAUUAUUGGGCGUAAAGGGCUCGCAGGCGGUUUCUUAAGUCUGAUGUGAAAGCCCCCGGCUCAACCGGGGAGGGUCAUUGGAAACUGGGAAACUUGAGUGCAGAAGAGGAGAGUGGAAUUCCACGUGUAGCGGUGAAAUGCGUAGAGAUGUGGAGGAACACCAGUGGCGAAGGCGACUCUCUGGUCUGUAACUGACGCUGAGGAGCGAAAGCGUGGGGAGCGAACAGGAUUAGAUACCCUGGUAGUCCACGCCGUAAACGAUGAGUGCUAAGUGUUAAGGGGGUUUCCGCCCCUUAGUGCUGCAGCUAACGCAUUAAGCACUCCGCCUGGGGAGUACGGUCGCAAGACUGAAACUCAAAGGAAUUGACGGGGGCCCGCACAAGCGGUGGAGCAUGUGGUUUAAUUCGAAGCAACGCGAAGAACCUUACCAGGUCUUGACAUCCUCUGACAACCCUAGAGAUAGGGCUUUCCCUUCGGGGACAGAGUGACAGGUGGUGCAUGGUUGUCGUCAGCUCGUGUCGUGAGAUGUUUGGGUUAAGUCCCCGCAACGAGCGCAACCCUUGAUCUU
This 1047-nucleotide ribosomal RNA is filed under the name Bacillus aerius. Its description in RNAcentral is "bacterial SSU rRNA". It matches the Rfam family "Bacterial small subunit ribosomal RNA", at positions 83 to 1112 of the family's 1533-position model. The record is from RNAcentral. Lineage: Bacteria; Bacillati; Bacillota; Bacilli; Caryophanales; Bacillaceae.